ACUCAAAGGAAUUGACGGGGGCCCGCACAAGCGGUGGAGUAUGUGGUUUAAUUCGACGCUACGCGAAGAACCUUACCAGGCCUUGACAUGGGAAGUUUGGAUUCCGGAAACGGAGUCCUUCAUUUAGUUGGCUUCCACACAGGUGCUGCAUGGCUGUCGUCAGCUCGUGUCGUGAGAUGUUGGGUUAAGUCCCGCAACGAGCGCAACCCUCAUCUUCAGUUGCUACCAGGUUAUGCUGGGCACUCUGAAGAAACCGCCGGUGACAAGCCGGAGGAAGGCGGGGAUGACGUCAAGUCCUCAUGGCCCUUACGGCCUGGGCUACACACGUACUACAAUGGUGGUGACAGUGGGCUGCGAAGUCGCGAGACGGAGCCAAUCCCCAAAAGCCAUCUCAGUUCGGAUUGCACUCUGCAACUCGGGUGCAUGAAGUUGGAAUCGCUAGUAAUCGCGGAUCAGCACGCCGCGGUGAAUACGUUCCCGGGCCUUGUACACACCGCCCGU
This 501-nucleotide ribosomal RNA is filed under the name uncultured bacterium. RNAcentral's name for it is "partial 16S ribosomal RNA". It matches the Rfam family "Bacterial small subunit ribosomal RNA", at positions 899 to 1397 of the family's 1533-position model. The record is from RNAcentral.